GAAAAAGGCUGGGGGAGCUGGAAUUGGUGUCAGCACAGGCAGGGGGGAUCAGGGAAGCCUGUCCUUUGGCCUCUUCAGGCCAGGUCCCUGUGCUCUGUCUGUCCCUGGCUCUGGGGUCUGCCCUGCCCUCUGAUUUACAGCACUGAGCACCAACCAGAGCUGCUGCUUAAGGAAUUCCUCGAGUGUUUCUGUUCCAGUAGGGAUUUGUGGGCCUGACUUUGAGUUGUGGAGCCUUGUGCUAGAGAGAUGUUUACAACUACAUGGUGACUUGGAUUUCUCCCAUGGAUUCCUGGAAACACUGUUAUCUCAAGCUUCAGGAGGAACUUCUGCGCAGAGACCACCCAGGACUCAGAGCUACCUGCCACCAGAGCACCUCUGCUGCCCCUGUUCCUGCCAGGAGACCGAAAUUGGGCACGGGUUGGGCUGAGCCCGCAGCACCUGGGAGGGCUGGAUCAGCUGUGGAGCAGCAGGGAUGGAGACAUCCUCACCAGCAAAGUUUCUGGCUACACACGUGGGAUCUUCAGCCUGGUGGACAGCAGAGUUCUGGUUUCUGCUGGGGGAACAUCCCUCCUGAGGGCCUGCAGGAUUCUCCCUGGGAUCUUUCCAAUAACAGGAUCAGUGGUUUAGAUGUUGAGCUCUUCAGAAGCCUGACUUCUCUGGCAAAGCUAGAUAUAAGCCACAACCAGAUUUCUACAUUAGAAGAUGGAAUAUUUGAUAAUUUAUUUAAUUUAAGUGAAAUAAACUUAAGUUGGAAUCCAUUUGUUUGUGACUGCAAACUGUCCUGGCUGCCCCGCUGGGUGGAGGACAGGAACGUGAGAGUCCUUGAGGCGUCGGACACGAGGUGUGCCCACCCCCCCGAGGUGGCCAACCUGUCCCUCUUCGAUGUCCUGUUCCUCAACACCACCUGUGGAGCUCAAUACAUCACGUGUCUGACAGGAAACUACACCGAAGAAGCUGAGCUUAUCAUCCUCUUCACCUCUGUCCACCCUGGGAACCUCACUGAGGAGACCUGCAGUGCCCUCUGUUACUCCCAAGACCAGGAGUAUGGGGGUUUCAGCCCCCAGGGGCAGUGUUUGUGUGGAACUGCCCACGAAACAAACUCUUCCUCCGGCUGUUUGCCAUUUUGCACUGAGCAUUUGUCUGGGCAGGGCUGUGGUGGCCCCUCACUCGUCCCCUUGCCCUUCCAGGCACAGCUGCCUGUGUCUUUCACAGGACUGCAGCCCCGCUACAGCCUGCACCAGCCCGUGCUCUUCAAUGUCAGUAUUCCCAUUGCUGCCAGCACUUUACUGUGGGAAUUUGGGGACCAGAGCGAGGUUCUCAACACCACUGGACACACGGCCGUGCACAGCUACGCCCUACCCGGGCACUACAACGUCACUGCCACCCUCCUCGUGGGCUCCAGGCUCCUGCAGCAGCAGGCAGAGAUUGAGGUGGUGGCUUCACCCCAGCAGCUGGAGCUGCAGUGUCCCUCCCUGGUGGUGGCAAACGAGAGCCUGGACAUCCGGAUCCGCAACAGGGGCGGCACGGGGCUGGCGCUGCUCUACGGGAUCACCGCCGAGCCCGGCGAGCUGGGCAGGGCAGUUCACCCCAUGUGCCCCCCUGAGGGCUUGGUUUUCCCGGGAAAUAACCACUGCUACCAGCUGGUGGUGGAGAAGGCGGAGUGGCUGGAGGCGCAGCGGCACUGCCAGGAGCUCGGCAACGGGGACCUGGCUUUUGUCAGCAGCCCCGACAUCCAGAGCUUCCUCGUUGCUCAUGUCAUCAGGAGCCUCGAUGUCUGGAUUGGAUUCAAUGAUUUUGCAAGCUCUGGAGCUCAGCAGAGAGGGGAAGGAUUUAAUCUGGAGAGCUGUCAGAACUGGCUGCCAGGAGAGCCCCAUCCCUCCAACGCCGACCACUGCGUGCGCAUGGGCCCCACGGGCCAGUGCAACACCGACCUGUGCAUGGCCAAGCACAGCUAUGUCUGCGAGUACAAGCCACCAGGAAUUCUCCUGAACGCCGAGAACUUCUUUGAGGGAGAGGCUGAGCUGGCCCCGCGCGGGGCCGUGAGGAGCCUGAGCGAGGCCGUGCCGGCGGAGCCCUGGCAGGCUGAGGAGGUGCUGCAGUUCCCAGAGCUGGCCUUCAGGCACCAGGGCUUCCUCGCUGCCCUGGACUUCGUGGCACAGGAGCUGCAGCAGCCCGUCCAAGUGAGCUUCCAGCUGCACAGAUUGGUGCAUGGAGAAGACUACCAGGAGGAAAACAAUGCUACAGAACCACUCCCCAGUGCUCAGGACGAUGGGAACUGGACGCUGCUGGAGUGUCCUCCUGGUUUCCAGUGGUGUCCUUUGAGGAAUCUGUGCUCAUCCCACAAGAGCUGCUGCAAUGGGACCGAGUGUGCCAACAGCUCCUCUGGCAGCAGCCCUGCCCCGGGGGCCCUGCAGCCCAACGCCAGCCAGCCCAGCUAUGAACUCCUCAAGGAGUUCCUCUUCUUGGUACCAGCUGGCCCCUCUUCCCAGUACCAGGUCACAUUCAGCAAAGAAAACGUCUUUGUCAGGGCUGGGGACGUUUUCAGCAUCCAGCACAACGCAAGCUCGGGCUCGUUCCUGCAGUGCCACCGCAGUGCCACCUCCCUGGCCAGGAGGAACUCCUCUGAGCGGGCACUGGGCCCGUCCCCCAGCCCAGUGGAUGUCCCCUGGAGCAGCAGCACGGCGUGCUCUGUGCGGGUGCGCUACGCCGAGGAGCAUCUGGUGCCGGUGCUCGGCGCGCAGAACGCGGGGCUGGAGCAGCCCGGGCUCUACCAGCUGCAGGCCAGCGCGGACAACGGGCUCUUCCGUGCCAACCUGUCCUGCCGCUUCCGCGUGGCCUCCCGCGUGUCCGGCCUGCGGGUCAUCCACCCGGCGCCGCAGGGCUCCAGGCUCUACCUGCCCACCAACCGCACCUGGCUGCUGCUCAAGCUGUCCUCGGGGGUCAACGCCACGGCCGGCUGCCUGGGGGACAACCGCACCGUGCCCUUCGUGGCCGGCUGCCCGGCGGCCGUGGCCUCGCUGUGCGCCAGGGAGAACAACGACACCUGGUUUGCUGUGCUGCAGCUGGGCGGCCUCGGCGAGGGCGUCAGCACCCACGUGCUGGUGGCAGAGAACCCGGUGAGCUCCCAGAACAUCACGGUCACCGUGAAGGUGGAGGAGCCCAUCCGCGGGCUGAGGGCCACGCCCGACCCCGAGAGCAGAGUGCUGCUGAACACGCGGGUGAGCUACAUCCCUGUGAUGGAGGCUGGGUCAGAUGUGACUUUCCGAUGGACAGUAGAUGAUAAGCCAUCUUUCACUUUUUACAAUGUUGUCUUCAACGUUAUCUACCAAAGCCCAGCUGUGUACAAGCUUUCGCUCACCGCCUCCAACCACGUCAGCAACUUCACAGUCAACUACAACGUGACGGUGGAGAUGAUGAACAGGAUGAGGAACCUGAGCGUGGUGGGUGCCCUGCCAGUGGUGCCCCAGAACAGCAGCGUGGAGCUCAGCGCCCGGGUUCACGUGGACUCGGCUGUGGAGGCUCUGUUCCUGUGGGAUUUUGGAGAUGGUGUCCAGGAGACGUACCUGUUCAAACCUCCCUACAACAAGUCUUUCCUUGUUCCUGAUCCCAAUGUCCAUGAGGUUGUCAUUGAGCACAACGUUUCACACAUCUACCAAGACCCAGGAGAAUAUGCCCUGAUGGUUGUUGUGUCCAACCAGUAUGAGAACCUCACCCACGUGAGCCCAGUCCAGGUUCACAGUUACCUGACUGCCGUGAAGGUGGAGGCAGAGGAGGAUGUUCUGGUGGUGGGCCGGCCGCUCACCUUCCGAGCCACUGCCCUGCCGUCCCCGUACGGCGUGCUGUACACCUGGGACUUUGGGGACAGCUCCUCCCUGCUCACAGAGCCCCAGCCCACCGCGACCUACAGCUACCGCCGCCGAGGGGUGUACAACGUCACCGUGACAGCCAACAACACCGUGAGCAGCGUGGAGACCGUGGAGUGCUACCAGGUGUUCGAGGAGAUAACGGGGCUCCGCGUGUCCGCCGACGAGGCCGCAGAGCAGGGAGCGGCUGUCACCAUCAACGCCUCCGUGCACACUGGGGACAGCAUCACCUGGAUAUUCGACAUGGGGGACGGGACAGUGCUCAGGAGUCAGGUGCCAGUGGUAGAGCACGUGUACAUAAAGGACAUCAACUGCACCGUGAACGUGACAGCUGUGAAUCCUGUGAACUCUGUCUCCCAGGCGGUUCCUGUCCGGAUAUUUGUCCUGGAAAUACUCAAAAUAGAGCCUACUUCUUGCAUCCUGGAGCACCCGGACGUGCAGCUCACCGCCUACGUGACGGGGAAUCCUGAGGAGUACGUCUUUGACUGGACUUUUGGAGAUGGCUCCUCCAAUGUCACAGUCAGCGGGGACCCUGUGGUGGUGCACAACUUCACCCGGAGCGGGACAUUCCCGCUCACCCUGACCCUCUCCAGCAGCUUUAACAAGGCUAACUACUUCACCAGUGUCUGUGUGGAGCCGGAGAUCCUCAACGUCACCCUCCUCCCUUCCAAACGCUUUGUGAGGCUCGGGGAAGAGACCUCCUUCCAGGUGAGUGCCGUGCCUCCCUACCAGUACCGCUACCGCUGGGAUUUUGGCAACAACGAGUCCACCAGGUCGAGUGGGACUGAAGUGACCUACACCUACAAGAACACUGGGGUCUUCCUGGUCACAGUGACCGUCUCCAACAACGUCUCUUUCAACAACGACACGGCGUUUGUGGAGGUCCAGGAGCCAGUUGGGGUAGCAAAGAUUGAGUAUAACGGGACGGAUGUUCUGGAGCUGAACCAGAUCUACCUGUUCUCUGCCAGCAUGAAUGGAACCAAAGUGGGUUACUGCUGGGACUUUGGGGAUGGCACUGUCCAGCCUGGGCAAGUGGCCACCCACUCCUACAACAGCACGGGCCACUACAGCAUUACAGUGAUGGGGCAGAACGACGUGAGCUCCAACGAGACCACCAUUGAUGUCACCGUGAAACGACGGCUCCUUGGCCUGACCGUCAAUGCCAGCAGGACAGUGGUGCCACUGAAUGGGUCGGUGAGCUUUGUAGCCACCCUGGUGGCUGGCACUGCCAUCCGCUACUCGUGGAUCCUCUGCGAUCGCUGCACUCCCAUCCAAGGCUCCUCCACCAUUUCCUACACCUUCCGCUCCGUGGGCACGUUCAACGUCAUCGUGACGGCCGAGAACAAGAUCAGCUCGCUGCAGGACAGCAUCUACGUCUACGUCCUGGAGCAGAUUGAGGGCCUGCAGGUGGCCAGCACUGACCUGGUGGAGGACAUGUAUUUCCCAACUAACAAAACACUCCAUUUGCAGGCCGUGGUGAGAGAGGGCACAAACAUCUCCUACAGCUGGGUGGUCCAAAGGGAUGGCAGUGCUGUGCAGACCUUCACUGGGAAAACCUUCCCCUUGAGCAUCCUGGAAGCUGGGAACUACACUGUCUACCUGAAGGCCACCAACAUGCUGGGCUAUGCCACUGCUAACAGGACACUGGAGUUCAUUGAAAGCCUUGGUGUCCUAAAGCCCUAUGCCUUCCCCAACCCAGCUGCUGUUAACGCCUCUGUGAACAUAAGUGCCACCAUAACCAGUGGCACUGGUGUCACGUACGUGUGGUACCUGGAGGAUGGCUCCUCUCCUGUCACCUCUGAACCCUUUAUUAUACACUCCUUCCAAAGCCCUGGAAUGAUUGAGGUCAUUGUUGGAGCAGAAAACAAGCUGAAUUCAACCAAUGCCACUGUUUCUGUGUGUGUGGAGGAGGCCAUCGAGGGGCUGAGUAUAGGGACAGCAGAGCUGGACUGUAGGUACGUCUCCUCAGGCUCCACGGUGGUCUUUGAGGGGGAGCUGCAGAGGGGGACUGAAGUGACCUGGCUGUGGGAGGUGCCAAAUGGCACUCUCAGUGGCCAGUCCGUGGCAGUCACCUUCCCCACGGCAGGGUGGUACACGGUGCAUCUGAACGCCUCCAACGACAUCAGCUGGGCUCUGGCCAGCAGGAACAUCUCGGUGCUGGACAGGAUUCAAGGUCUGGAAGUUGUCGCCAGCAAGAAGGUGGUGGAGCCAGGAGAACAGGUCACCUUUGAGAUCAGGAUGCUGUCAGGUACCUCUGUGAGCUACCUGGUGAGCAUUAGUGGGGACUACUCCGUGGUGCUCAACGGCUCCAGGUACAGCCAUGAGUUCACCAAGAGCGGCGAUUACGUGGUGACCGUGACCGUGCAGAACCAGAUCAGCAUCGCCCACGCCCAGGUGCUCAUCUCUGUCCUGGAGCCCAUCCAGGACGUCAGGCUCCUGAACUGCUGCGAGGAGGGCAUUCCCACGGGCACGGAGAAGAGCUUCAGUGCCCGCGUGGGCAGCGGCUCCCGCGUGUCCUUCUCCUGGCAGUUCUGCCUGUGGAAGGAGCGAGGCCGGUCCGUGGUUGCUGCGUCAGGAGACAGAGUUUCCUAUGCUCCAGAAGCUGCAGGGCUGCUGGAGAUCCACCUCACUGCCUUCAAUGACUUGGGAAGUGUCAACAUCACCAGAACCAUCCAGGUGCAGGACCCCAUAGUCCAGGUGUCCCUCAGUGCCACCAAUGCCUUUGUCAACAGGACGGCGCUGUUCGAAGCCGUGGUGGUGCCCAGCAGCAGGAGCGUUGAGUUCUUGUGGAGCUUUGGGGAUGGCUCUUCCACUCAAACCACCAGGACUGCAGUGGCCAACUAUUCUUACCUGAGCCCCGGGGAUUACCUGGUGGAGGUGAACGCCACCAAUCUCAUCAGCUUCUUCAUAGCCCAGCUCACUGUCACCGUCAAAGUCCUGGAGUGCGAGGAGCCCGAGGUGGAGCUGGCCCUGCCACCGCAGGUGGUUAUGAAGAGAUCCCAGAGGAACUACCUGGAGGCACAGAUUGACCUCCGAGGCUGCAUCAAGUACCAGACAGAGCACCUGUGGGAGAUCUACCGAGCCCCCAGCUGCAUGAACUUGGACGACUCCAGCAGGAUCCGGCUGCCGAACGUCGACGUGAACAGGCCCCAGCUGGUUAUCCCAAAGCUCGGCCUGGAAGUUGGGAACUACUGUUUCAUGUUUAUUGUCUCCUUUGGAGACACCCCGCUGUCCAAAAGCAUCUUUGCCAAUGUGACAGUGAUCCCGAGCAAGCUGGUCCCAAUCAUUGAUGGGGGGUCAUACCGUGUAUGGUCCAACACCCAGGACUUAAUCCUGGAUGGGGAGAAAUCCUACGACCCGAACUUGGACGAUGGGGAACAGACCCCGUUGUUGUACGAGUGGUCCUGCACAUCCUCCUCCAAGAGCUCGGCUGCAGGGUGCUCUCUGAAUUUCAGUGCCAAGGAAGGAAUUGUCACAAUUUCCAAAGCUCUAUUAGAGGCAGAUGUGGAGUACACGUUCGACCUCACCGUCAGGAAGGAAGGGAUGAGUCCCGAGGCCACCAACCAAACCGUGUUCAUCAAGAGGGGAGGAGUCCCCAUUGUGUCCCUGGAGUGCAUUUCCUGCAAGGCUCAGUCUGUCUACGAGGUCAGCAAGAGCUCCUACGUGUACCUGGAGGGCACCUGCCAGAACUGUCACAACGACUCCAAGCUUGGGAGGUGGGCAGCUCACAGCUUUAACAACAAGUCCCUGGUCCUGGACAGAAGCACCACGUCCACCGGCGACACGGGGAUGAACCUGGUGCUGAGGCCAGGAGCCCUGAGGGAUGGCGAGGGCUACACCUUCACCCUGCACAUCACAGACCUGACCACGGGCGAGGAGGGCUUUGCCUCCAUCGACCUGCUGCCCAACCAGCCCCCCGUGGGGGGGUCCUGCCGCCUGUCCCCCGAGGGACCCCUCAGGGCGCUGGAGACCAAGGUGCACUUCGAGUGUGCAGGCUGGCGGGACACGGAGGACGCGGAGGGGCCGCUGGUGUUCAUCCUGCUGGCCUCGCGCCGCCGGCCCGGCCACUUCCACGAGUUCUGCGUGUACAAGGGCAGCCGCGCCGAGCACGGCGCCUUCCUGCCCCCCGGCUUCCGCGAGAGCGGCUUCCAGGUGUCCGUGGCCGUGCUGGUGCAGGACCAGCUGGGAGCCACCGUGGUGGCCGUCAACCGCUCCAUGGAAAUCGGCCUCCCCGAGGGCUUCCCCAGCCUCUCCCACUGGCUCUACAAUCAGACUGACACCGUGCUCCAGGGCUUGGUGAAACAAGGGGACCCUCAGCAGGUCAUUGAGUACUCCCUGGCCCUCAUCACCAUCCUAAAUGAGUACGAGCGCUCCGUGCUGCUGGAGCCCGAGGCUGGCCAGGAGCUGGAGCUCCGCACCCGGACCCGCAACAACAUCACGGAGACGCUGAACUCGCUGAAGGUGAACACGGUGGAUGACAUCCAGCAGAUCUCAGCUGCCCUGGCCCAGUGCACGGUGGUGAGCAAGGAGCUGGUGUGCAAGUCGUGCCUGACAAGGACCCUGAACAAGCUGGAGACCAUGAUGACCAUUCUGCAAGGGGAGACCACCCAGGGCACGGUGACACCGACCGGCAUCGCCGACAACAUCCUCAACAUCACAGGUGACCUGAUCCACCUUGUCAAUACAGUUUCACAAGAAUCCAAGCCCCAGGAGCUGCUGGCUGAUUCCCACAAUUUGCUGCUGGCUCCCAAAGCCUACAACCUGUCUUCCAGCCUGAUGCGAAUCCUCAUGAAAUCCCGGGUGCUGAACGAAGAGCCCCUCGAGCUGGUGGGAGGAGAAAUUAAGGCCACAGGCAAGAGGUCUGACCCCUUUAACCUGCUCUGCUACGAAAACACACCAAACUGCCAGUUCUCCAUCCCCCAGGCCUUCAACUCCACCCUUUCCAACCUGACGGAUGUCAUCCAAGUCAUGUUCCAGGUGGACUCCAAUCCCUUCCCUUUUGGCUACAUCAGCAACUACACCGUGUCCACCAAGGUGGCCUCCAUGGAGUUCCAGACACACAACGGGGUGCAGAUCCCCAUAGGGAGCCUGGACUCUGAAAAAGCCAUCACUGUGAUGGUCUCAAACAGCACAGAGCCCGAAAAUCUCGUGGCUGGCACUGAAGUCAUCGAGGCAAGAACGUCUGUGAACCUGAUUGUGAUCAUGGAGAGCAACAACAGGGAAGCAGGACUGCACUUUCAGCUCACCUACAGAGUCCUCAAUGAGCAUUACCUGGCCAGUGAGCCCGAGCCCUUCAUCAUGGCCUAUCUCCAUCAUGAGCCCGAGCCCAACGAGCACAACUGCUCUGCCUCCAAGAGAAUCAGCCUGGACGCCCUGGCUGGAAGUGACCACAAGCUCUACACCUUCUUCACCUCACCCAGAACGGAUGACCCCAUCCAGAAGUACUACCUGAACAUCACCAACCACUUCAGCUGGUCGGCAGUGGAGGUGACCCUGGGGCUGUACACGUCCCUGUGCCAGUACUUCAGCGAGCAGGAGAAGCGCUGGAAGACAGAAGGAAUUGUCCCCCUGGAGGAGACCAGGCCAGACCAGGCCGUGUGCUUGACCCAGCACCUCACAGCCUUUGGGGCCAGCCUGUUUGUGCCCCCAAACUCUGUCCAGUUCAUCUUUCCUGCUCCAGGCCCAGGGCUGAACUACAUCGUGCUGCUGACGUGUGCUGUGUGCUUUGUCACCUACUCGGUGGCCGCGCUGAUCGUGCACAAGCUGGACAUGAUCGACAUGAGCCGCGUGGGGGUGAUCCCCUUCUGCGGCAAGAACGGGAUGUACAAAUACGAGAUCCUGGUGAAAACGGGCUGGGGCAGAGGGUCAGGCACCACGGCCCACGUGGGCAUCGCCCUGUACGGGGUGGACAACAAGAGUGGCCACAGACACCUGGACGGGGACAACGCCUUCCACCGCAACAGCCUGGACGUGUUCCAGAUCGCCACGGAGCGCAGCCUGGGCAGCGUCUGGCGCAUCCGCAUCUGGCACGACAACAAAGGCCUCAGCCCCUCGUGGUACCUGCAGCACGUCAUCGUGCGGGACCUGCAGAGCAGCAAGAGCUACUUCUUCCUGGUGAACGACUGGCUCUCGGUGGAGAGCGAGGACAACGAUGGCCUGGUGGAGAGGGAGGUGUUUGCUGCCAGUGAGAGCGAGCUGAGGAGCUUCUGGCGGAUCUUCGUGGCGGAGCUGCAGCGUGGCUUCUUCGAGAAGCACGUGUGGCUGUCCCUGUGGGACCGCCCGCCCCGCUCCCGCUUCACCCGCGUCCAGAGGGCCACCUGCUGCUGCCUCCUCAUCUUCCUCUUCCUCUGCGCCAAUGCCGUGUGGUACGGCGUGGUGGGCAGCGUCCACCUCAGCAACGUGGCCGUUUCCAGCCUGCUCCCUGUCAGCGUGGACACGGUGGCUGUUGGCCUGGUGUCCAGCCUGGUGGUUUACCCUCUCUACCUGGUCAUUCUGUUUCUCUUCCGGAUGGCUCGUGGCAAGGUCUCCAUCAGCCACACAGUGACUCACUCAGACCAGCAGUCCCUGGAGAUCGACAACUACCUGGACUCCUCCAUCCUUGACAGCUCCUUCCCCACCUUCCCCGGGCUCCAGGCAGAGGCCUUCUCUGAGCAAACCAAAACAGAUCUGUUCCUGGAGGACUCCAAGAGCCUGGUGCCCUGGCCCUCCAGCGAGGCCCUGCUCAGCUGGCCAGACCUGCUGAGUGACCCCUCCAUCAUGGGCAACACCAUCCAGAAGCUGAAGAGAGGCCGGGCCAGCCGCCACCUGGGGCUGGAGGCCCCGCUGGCCACCGAGGAGGACACCUUGUCCCUUGGCAUCCACCAGGGACAGCCCCGCUACUUCUCAGCCUCAGAUGAGGAUCUGAUCCGGCAGAUCCUGGCAGAUGGAGCCGGCGGCAUCUCCCAGGACCUGGGGCCGUACAUGAGGGCAGAAACAGAUCUGAUCUCAGGCCUGUCCAGCGUGUUCGGGGAGAAGGUGGAGACUGUCAUGAUGCACAGGCUGAACGACAAAGGGCAGAGCGUGGCACCUCCUCCCAGGGAAGUGAGCAGAUCAGCCAAGUCCACCUGGACAGUUGCAGACCAGGCGUUCAGGAAGCGCCUGCUGCCGCCCUGGUGCUCCCUGCUGGCUCAUGGCAUCAGCCUCCUGCUCCUGGCCGCCGCCGCCGGCGUCUCCGUGUGGAUCGGGGUGGGCUUCUCCUCCAGCGUGGCCCUCAUGUGGCUCAUCUCAGGGAUAUUCAGCUUUCUGGCAUCGUUCCUGGUCUGGGAGCCCCUGAAGGUGCUGCUGGAAGCCCUCUAUUUCUCCCUGGUUGCCAAGAGGCUGCACCCAGAGGAAGAUGACACCUUGGUGGAGCAGCCCUGCGUGGAACACGUGUCCGAGAGGAUCAGCAAGGUCCGGCCUCCACAGGGAUUUGCCCUCUUCCAGGCCAAGGAGGAGGCCAGGAAGGUCAAACUGCUGCACAGGAUGCUCAAGAAUUUCCUCAUCUACAUGAUGUUCCUGCUGGUGGUCCUGCUCACCAACUACGGCGAUGCCUCCCGCACCAGCCGGGCCUUCCUCCUGCAGAGCUCCAUCAAACAGCAGCUGGGCAGCAACGACUUCCUGCUCAUCAAGAGGUCGGAUCAGUUCUGGGUGUGGAUGUCUCAGGUGUUCCUCCCUUACCUGUACAACAACGGCUCUGGCCAGGAGAGCCACAGCACCACGCUGGGGACAGCGCGGCUGCGCCAGCUCCGCCUGCAGGGAGCUGAGUGCCAGCAGAGUGCCCAGGACAUCCUGCAGGGCAUGGGCAGUGCCCAGAGGAGCUGCACUGACCAGCACAGCUUUGCCACUGCUGACUAUGGAGUGGGCUGGGAGAGCACAGCCAGGAACGGGACGGCGGCGUGGGCACACUCAGCACCCGACCUGGCAGGGAUCUGGUACUGGGGCUACAUCUCCUUCUACGACAGCAGUGGCUAUGUGCAGGAGCUGGGCCCUUCCCUGGAGGAGAGCCAGGCUCAGCUGGAGUUCCUGCAGCAGCACACCUGGAUCGACAACAUGAGCCGGGCAGUGUUUGUGGAGCUGCUGCAGUACAACCCCAGCGUGGACCUGCACGUGGCCCUCACCCUGCGCCUGGAGUUCCCUGGGGCUGGCCAGGCCAUCGCUGCUGUCACCAUCAGCCCCUUCCCCCUGCUGCGGCUCAGCGGGGGCGUCACCCUGCAGCUCCUGAUGAUGGUGUUCCUCAUGCUGUUUGUGGUUUACUUUGUGGUGUCAGAGUCUCUGGCCAUCAAGAAGGAAGGCAGAGCCUACUUCACCCUGUGGGGCAACUACAGCCAGUGGCUUUUCAUCCUGCUCACCACGUGCACCGUGCUGGUGCACCUCAGCCAGGCCACCCUGGCUGACCAGCAGUGGCUCAGGUACCUCAGCAAUCGCAGGGGCUUCACCAACUUCUACCAGGUGGCCUUCCUGAGCUCUGUCUUCAGCAGCCUGGCCGCGUCCCUCCUCUUCCUCCUGACCGUGCAGGCUGCCCAGCAGCUGCGCUUUGUCCGGCAGUGGUCAGUGUUUGGAAAGACCUUCCAGAAGUCCAUGAAGGAGCUGCUGGCUGCAGGGGUGGCCUUUGCCCUCCUCCUCCUGGCCUACGCCCAGCUCGGCUUCCUGCUCUUCUCCUCCUCCUCCGAGUCCUUCCGCAGCGUGGGCAGCAGCCUCCUGCUGCUGCUGGCCCUCCUGCGGGGCAGCGCCAGCCUCCGGCCCUGCCUGCCCGAGGCCUCGGGGCUCUACUGCCUCUUCUGCACCUCCUACGUGGUGCUGGAGGCGUGGAUCGUGCUGCGGCUGCUGGCGGUGGUGCUGGUGCACAGCUACCGCGAGAUGCACUUCGAGCUCUACCGGCCCGCCUUCGAGCCGCAGGACUACGAGAUGGUCGAGCUGUUCGUGCGCAGGCUCAAGAUGUGGAUGGGCUUCAGCAAAGCCAAGGAGUUCCGGCACAAGGUGAGGUUCGAGGGGAUGGAGCCGCUGCCCUCCCGAGACUCCAGCGACUCCAAGUCCUUCCGUGGCCCCACUCCCAGCGCCGCCUCCGACAGCUCCAGGACCUCCACGUCCUCCAGCCAGCUGGACGGGCUGAGCCUCGUGCUGAGCGCCCGCGACAGCCUGGAGGUGGACGCUGACAUCCAGCGCCUCCUCUCGCUCUUCGAGAUGCUGCUGGCGCAGUUCGACCGCGUCAACCAGGUGACGGAGGACGUGUCCCGCAUCGAGCACCUGCUCGAGUUCUCCCGCAGCCGCCGCGCCCGCCGGAGGCACCGCGGGCCCGAGGGGAGCCCGGGCAGCUCGGAGCAGGGCCCGUCCCUGGAGGUGCCGGACACGGAGCCGCUGUCCCCGCGCUGUGCCGGGGCCGUGCCCGUGCCCGGCCGGCUGCUGCGGGCCAGCCGCGGGGUCAGCGCGGCCGCGGGGACAGCGGGCAAGGCCUGUGCGGCCAGGAGGAAACGGCCCCUGCGGGCCAAGAACCGGGUGCACCCCACGGUCAAGUAACGGGGCUGCGGGAGCGAUGCCCUGGCAGGGCUUUGUUGGGUGGGCUGUGCCCGCCCGGAGCUGCCGCGGCGGCUGGGCCGGCCGGGCACAGGGGCGCUCCGGCCACGCCGCUGGCACGGCCACCGGCCCUCCAGAAGUGGCCCCAUGGGAGCGUUCCAGGGGUAAAGGUGGAAGGGGAGAAGGCCGAGCCUUUCCCCGGGGCAUGAGCAGGUGCAGGAGAUGCCUGCGGGCUCACAGGGAGCAGCUGGGGCUGUUCAAGGGCCCCGGCUGCAACCGGCCACAGGUGGGACUGGGGUGGGCACAGGGGGACGGGACAAAGCUCCCCCCUUCCCUGCUGGCUGUGCCGGGUGGGAAAGGGAAAGGAGAGCCCCAGGCCUUGAAGGUUUGAACCAAGUCUUGGAGUUUUGUUGACCAGACGCACUGUGGAGGAAAGCGACAGCUUUCGAGAAGGUAUUUAACCCACCUUGUUUUUUAAGCAUAAAUAGAUAUAUAGAGAAAUGCUAUCUACACCCAGAGCAGUUAAUUUCCAGUAUUGGCUACUUUUAUCCUCCAGAAAUUGGUACUAUUAUUUGUAUUUAAAGAAAUCCAAUAUUUAAAACAAAGGACAUUGCAGCGAGCUGGGGACGAGAGACCCCUGGGCUGCCUCAGCCACCUCCCAGCGUGGGGUUCCCAAACUCCCAGCGUGGGGUUCCCAAACUCCCAGUGUGGGGUUCCCAACGUGCUGGUGUCACUGCGGUCCCCACCUGCCCUGUCCCCCCGCCGUGGCCCCGGGGUGCAGGCGCCGCUGGCUGCUUGGCUUCUCUAACCCAAGGAAUGUAUUGCCCUAAGUAUAUGUAUUUUUUUUUUUUUUUUGUUUACUUGUUCCUAUGUACUGCCCAGCACUUUAAACAAGGCUUUCCUCGGCUACCAGUGACACGUGCGAGCUAAGAAUGGGAUAAUAUAUCACAAAAGCAGUAUUUUGUUUGUUUAAAUCAUAAACUGAAAUGGGCAGGGAGGAGGGGAGCGCAGCCCCAGCUCAGGCAGCAGUGCCAGCGCCUUCCCUGAGCACGAAGGAGGCAGGUGAAGCCCUGAGGGAGCUUUUUUUGGGGUCCCUCCAGCCCUGCCAGCUGGGAUUCACCAUGUGCUGGGCUGCAGCUGCUGGGCUACAGCUGGCCUGUGCCAUGGGGCCCCCCCAGAUCACAGCCUGGGGGUGCCUGAAGCCCCCCCAGGGGCUGCCUUCCUCUCCUCAGCCCCAUUUCACCUUAUGGCUAUUGUAAGUAAUUUAUACGGGGUUUGUUUGGUUUUUAAAUGUAUAUAUUUUUGUAUGUUUGCUAUAUUUUCAUAGCAUCGGUACCGUGUUUGAAACAUGUAGAUAGGAGACAGAACACUAUUGUCAGAGUUAUUUAAAGGAUGUAUUAAGUGCUUCUUCCUGGGAAUGUCCCGUGUAUAUAAGGAUUGGGUGUCUGUGUGUGUGUGGUGCGUGUGCUCUCCUGGGCUGGCUCGGGGCCACAGGUGGAUGGGGAAGAGCCCUCCGUGAGUUCCAGAACCUGCUCCAUGCUUUGGACAGGUGAGAGGGUGGAAGGGAAGGCUGAGGGGGCAGAGCUGCAGGGCAGGGAGGCUUUUCCAGGUGGAGAGAGGGGGCUCCUAAAGCACUUCCAUUGCUCCAUCCCCUCCUGAGCCUCCCCUCCAUCCCCCGGCUGUGUUGGAUACUUGUGAAGAUUUCACUCCAGCAUCCGUGUGCUCCUUUGGCCAUGUGAGUCAGGCUGGCUGCAGGGGGACACUGGCUGCUCUGGGGUGCCUUUGGGACAGGUCUAAGGUACCUUGGGAAAACUCAGGUGCUGUGCAGGACAGAUGUUGUGGAAAGGUUGCAGAGGGCUGAGGGCAGGAGAAGACAAGGGAGGUGGUGCUUGGUCAGCAUGGAGGAGUUGGAAGAGCAGAGGGCGCAGAGGAGUGGAGUGCACAGGGGAGAAAUGCAAUCCUGGUAACCAGGACAGGGGGGGAGAGGGCAGAGAGGGGCCCAGAGGGCAGGAGUGGGACAGGGAGGUGCCUGCAGCAGGCAGAGCCCACAGCUGGAGGCUGAGCUGGAGCUGGGACCAGGUGCUGGUCAGCUCUGUGCUCAGAAAAAAACCCUGGAUUCCAAGCCAGAGAUAGAAAGCUGUUUGCCUUGGAUUUUUGUUUAACUUCCCAGGCAGCACAGCACCAGGCUCAGCUCUGGCACGUUUCCAUGACUCCUUUUUGGUGACAGUGCCAUGUUCCCAAGGCCAGGCAGUAAGAGGAGCAGUGGUGAGGUGUCCCAGAGAGCUGGGAUGUCCCCAGGGCCCAGGGCUGGAGUCCCUCCAGCUCCAAAGCUCCUUUCCCCACACACCUGCCCUGGCACAACCCAUCUCACCUGUGUGGAGCACCAAGGGUGUAGAUCCAGCCACUCCAAGGGCUGUCUGGGAAUAUUCAAUGAUUGAAAGGUCCCAAAUAAACCAAGCAGGUCUUGGAAGUCUCUUGAAGAGCCAAAAAGUUCAGUUCCUGAUGGUCAGUUCUCAGCUCGAGUAUCCUUAGAGGAGGUUGGGAGUAGGAGGGAAGCAGGGGCCAGCAGGGCCCCAGAUGUUUUUGAGCAGCCAUUCCUAAGCUAAGGGGCAGCUGGAACAAAGAUGCUCCCCAAAUCCAUCUGGAUUUUUGUUCCCAAGUGCCUGUUCCUUGCCCUGCGUGCGUGUGUGUGUGAGUGUGACUCGGCGUGUGUGACUUUUCCAAGUGCUCCUGCUGAUGCCAGAGGAGCAGAAACGGGAUCAGACAACUGCCCUACUUCCCUGAAGUACGGAGAGCAGCUCUGCCCCCCACAGUCCCUUGAAAAGCCCAGCCCUGCGUGGUGGGCAGCACCCACAGCUUCCAGCACUCCCAGUUCUCCGUGCAGCAGCUCCUGUGCCAGCUCCAGCAGUGUCCCAGGGUCCCCUCCUUGCCCCAGCUAGAGGGAUUCAGUCAUGGACUUACACCCUCACAGCAAUAAACUUGACUCAAAGCCCAUAAAUCCCCCUGAAUGUAUAUUUUUGUGUCUGUAGUCACCGAGAGAUGGUGUCUUAUUUAUUGCCUUGAAUCUCACAGUGAUGUAUCAGGAUCAAGCUGCUUAAGUGAAAAAUGAGACCCCCAUGCAUUCGUUCCAAGGGAGAGGGAGGGACUUCUGUAAGUGCCUUAUUUUUUCUAAUUUUUGGGGUUUUUUUUUAAAGAACAAUGAUUGUGACCAAAAUGCCAACAGUUCCUGUCUGGUCAGCAUUUCACUGCAAACAAAAAUGGUAUUUUGUAACUGUGGGGAUGUUUCUUACAAAGUGACAAAGUCAAAUAAACACUUGACUGCUAAAA
This is an RNA transcript of Pyrgilauda ruficollis (rufous-necked snowfinch), 16718 nucleotides long. It is a transcript of the gene named polycystin 1, transient receptor potential channel interacting, with no coding region annotated. The record is from RefSeq and is a predicted model, not a curated record. NCBI's taxonomy places the organism in Eukaryota, Metazoa, Chordata, Aves, Passeriformes, Passeridae. The transcript has 48 exons.